Papilio xuthus (Asian swallowtail) is the source of this 688-nucleotide long non-coding RNA. RefSeq lists it as uncharacterized. The transcript has 5 exons. The record is from RefSeq and is a predicted model, not a curated record. Lineage: Eukaryota; Metazoa; Arthropoda; Insecta; Lepidoptera; Papilionidae.
GCUGCGAGCGGGCGGGUGCCAGACGCACCUGGUGCGCUGCGUGAACCUGACGCCGGUGGCCACCGCGCUGUGCUGGGAAACGGACAAACAAUGUAAUGACGUACUGAAGGUGACGUUUUCUCCCGUGGAGAGCGAGAUCGAUGCCUUUGCCACGGUCUUGAUUCAGGUGAAGCUGAGCGCGGCGGCGGCGUGCGGGCGACGCGUGCGGGCGUACCGCGCGGCCGUGCGCCACUCAGCCACGCCACUAUAUCUGCUGCUCGACACCGCCGUCGACGGACGAAAAGUUAGUGUCGACAUCCCUACUGGCGAUGAUGGCGAUUCACUGGCGACCGUCACUACGAGUGAACGCGGCGUCACACCGUGGGGCUGUGACUUCGCGACCCCGCUCUCACCGGAGGAGAUAUUUACUGAUUUCGAACAAAUUCGUAUAAAAAUGAAUGGUAAAUAAUUAUAUUUUUUAAUUUCCACCUGACCGAUACGCUCCGGCGCGGAGAGGGGACAUCAACACGGUACGUUCACCACCGAGGAUUCAAUUGUCUUAAAAAUUGCACUUUCAAACAAAUGUGUCUUAAACCCGGUUCACAUUAUUCCAGUUCAUCCAGCUAAAAAGAAUAUCUUAGUAAUAUACAAGUUCCAGGAAUAAUUGGUUCAUUUUUGUUUGCACGCCCGCCCGGCAUAAACGCCCGGC